GGUUCCAUUGUGUAGUGGUUAGCACAUCUGCCUUACAUGCAGAAAGUUCUGGAUUCACGCCCCAGUGGAGCCA
Molecule: transfer RNA, 73 nt
Filed under: Pteropus alecto (black flying fox)
Lineage: Eukaryota; Metazoa; Chordata; Mammalia; Chiroptera; Pteropodidae
Also listed under: 1 other name
Rfam family: tRNA
About the family: Transfer RNA (tRNA) molecules are approximately 80 nucleotides in length. Their secondary structure includes four short double-helical elements and three loops (D, anti-codon, and T loops).
Source: Rfam by way of RNAcentral